GCCGGGCGCGGUGGCUCACGCCUGUAAUCCCAGCACUUUGGGAGGCCGAGGCGAGUGGAUCACGAGGUCAGGAGAUCGAGACCAUCCUGGCUAACACGGUGAAACCCCGUCUCUACUAAAAAUACUAAAAAAUUAGCCGGGCGUGGUGGCGGGCGCCUGUAGUCCCAGCUACUCGGGAGGCUGAGGCAGGAGAAUGGCGUGAACCCAGGAGGCGGAGCUUGCGGUGAGCCUGGCUAAUUUUUUGUAUUUUUAGUAGAGGCGGGGUUUCACUGUGUUAGCCAGGAUGGUCUUGAUAUCCUGACCUCGUGAUCUGCCCACCUCGG
This is a non-coding RNA of Gorilla gorilla gorilla (western lowland gorilla), 323 nucleotides long. It matches the Rfam family "Metazoan signal recognition particle RNA". From Rfam's summary of the family: The signal recognition particle (SRP) is a universally conserved ribonucleoprotein. It is involved in the co-translational targeting of proteins to membranes. NCBI's taxonomy places the organism in Eukaryota, Metazoa, Chordata, Mammalia, Primates, Hominidae. The record is from Rfam.